RNAcentral lists this transfer RNA (74 nucleotides) under Plasmodium vivax North Korean. RNAcentral describes it as "tRNA-Arg". It matches the Rfam family "tRNA". Rfam says of the family: Transfer RNA (tRNA) molecules are approximately 80 nucleotides in length. The record is from RNAcentral. Lineage: Eukaryota; Apicomplexa; Aconoidasida; Haemosporida; Plasmodiidae.
ACACCCAUAGCUUAACUGGAUAAAGUAUUUGACUUCGGAUCAAAAGAGUGUAGGUUCAAGUCCUACUGGGUGUG